AUCAACACCCCAGAGACUGAAGUCCUCUGUUUAGCCACAGAUCAGGUACAACAAAGGCAAGAGAAGUUCCAGUUCCCUUCAUGUAUUCUGCCUAAAUUCUCAUCUAGAAGAGCCACCUCCGAGCCUCAUGGGUGAGUCAGUCCUUGGCCUCUGUUGAGAAUAUCGCCAAG
This 170-nucleotide small RNA is filed under the name Chrysemys picta bellii (western painted turtle). Its description in RNAcentral is "TUC338 (ENSCPBG00000024261.1)". Lineage: Eukaryota; Metazoa; Chordata; Testudines; Emydidae. The record is from RNAcentral.